CCUACGGGCGGCAGCAGUGAGGAAUAUUGGUCAAUGGACGAGAGUCUGAACCAGCCAAGUAGCGUGAAGGAUGACUGCCCUAUGGGUUGUAAACUUCUUUUAUAUGGGAAUAAAAUGUUCCACGUGUGGGAUUUUGUAUGUACCAUAUGAAUAAGGAUCGGCUAACACCGUGCCAGCAGCCGCGGUAAUACGGAGGAUCCGAGCGUUAUCCGGAUUUAUUGGGUUUAAAGGGAGCGUAGGUGGAUUGUUAAGUCAGUUGUGAAAGUUUGCGGCUCAACCGUAAAAUUGCAGUUGAAACUGGCAGUCUUGAGUACAGUAGAGGUGGGCGGAAUUCGUGGUGUAGCGGUGAAAUGCUUAGAUAUCACGAAGAACUCCGAUUGCGAAGGCAGUUCACUGGACUGCAACUGACACUGAGGCUCGAAAGUGUGGGUAUCAAACAGGAUUAGAUACCCCAGUAGUC
This 460-nucleotide ribosomal RNA is filed under the name uncultured bacterium. Its description in RNAcentral is "partial 16S ribosomal RNA". It matches the Rfam family "Bacterial small subunit ribosomal RNA", at positions 338 to 795 of the family's 1533-position model. The record is from RNAcentral.